This is a long non-coding RNA of Prinia subflava (tawny-flanked prinia), 629 nucleotides long. RefSeq lists it as uncharacterized. NCBI's taxonomy places the organism in Eukaryota, Metazoa, Chordata, Aves, Passeriformes, Cisticolidae. The transcript has 3 exons. The record is from RefSeq and is a predicted model, not a curated record.
UUCAGUAUUGGUCAGACCUCCAAUCUCAAGUGAAGCUGUUGAUGAAAUGCAGCAUUAAACAACAACUGCUCCAGUGAGGCCCUAGAACUCCAGUGCUUGCAACCCCACACAGCUCCAUCCCAGCAGGGCUUGAGACCCCUUUCUUCUCCUGAUCUGAGCCACUGAUCUGAGUGGAGCUGUUGUUUGAAUUAGAGAGGAUGGAGCAGAAGGCUUGUGCUUUCAGCACUGUGUUAACCAAACUGACAGCUGAACUGGUUCUUGUGCUGGACUGUGGCAACUAAGCCUCAUGUGCUACAUUUAUUUAUGUCCUGGAAUGAGAAGAUGGACCAUUAUCAUGGUGAAUUUUGGAUGGGCAACAGUCCUAGUUACCCGUGGAUACUGAACCAGUGAAGCUUUGUAGGCGUGAAGAUACUGAUGUUGCAAUUCAGAUUAUCCCCCAAUGCUGGUAAUCACAAACGUAGACCUACCACUUCUGUGGUGCUCAGGACCUCUUUGGCAGAAGAAAGCUUUGGAGUUUAGGAAUCCUAAAAGGGCUGGCAGGAGUCUUGACUUGGCUGAGUUUCUACAAUCAGGCUUUAACCCCUGCUCUGUGUCACUGAGGAUGGCAGCACAUCCUCGGGGAGGGCUUC